Molecule: long non-coding RNA, 3606 nt
Organism: Ailuropoda melanoleuca (giant panda)
Lineage: Eukaryota; Metazoa; Chordata; Mammalia; Carnivora; Ursidae
Exons: 3
Source: RefSeq, a predicted model, not a curated record
UGUUGCUUGAGCGGAUAAAGGUCAACUCAGAGUUGCUGGCUGCCAUUUCGCCUGGGAAUGGAGCUGACACAAGGACAGCAGAGCCAAGAGAUGGAGAAAGAUGCUGCCCCGUGAGAUGGGUUAAGUCCCUUGAUCCAGCUUGAGCCUGAAGCCAUCAUGUUCAAUCCCAUUAACCAAUUAGUUCCCUUUUGGUUUUAUGCAGCCAAGAGUUCCCACAGAUAUAACCUUUAUUAAUGGUGUGAUCAAGACUGUUAAAUAACCUCUCUGGGACUCAGUUUCUUCAUCUGUAAAACAGGUUGUGUUUGUCUAAGAUGAAAGGAGCAUGUGUGGUGAGCCCUGCGCCUGAUGUUAUAAAACAUCCGCUGUCAUCAAGAACACGCCCAGCUCAACUAGGCUGCUGUUUACUCAGAUACUGGAAAGUUUUCUGAGGGACACAGCUGAGCCCAGCCAUCCCCGCCCACUGCAAUAAUCCAACAAGAACGCCGAAGACCAGAAGAUGGAAUGAGUGGACAUCUCAGGUCUCGGCUCUGGGGCAGUGGUCACACAAUGGCUGUUCCGACACAGCCUCAUUGAACAGAGGCAUCAGUGCACCGACGGAACUGCUUGGAAAAUCCUUCCUCGUGAACGCAUGGGUCGUUUUGCCAAGCAGCUGUCCAGUACACAGGGUCUGUGGCUCUGUUUCUCUUGGCCCACUCUGGGGCAGGAGUGGCUUGUACAUGGGACUGGAGGACAUGACACCCUCCACCCUGGCCUCCAGCACCCGUGGCCUGCCCCGGGAGCAGAGCCUCAGACAGGAUUUGCGGGAUUCCGCCAGCCCAAGCAAGCCUCCUGGAAGAUCUGUGGAUAGGCUUCACCCCCUGGCUUGACCUCAGUGGGUUUGCCCUUUGUGAGGGAGAGGAACAAGGCUUUUAAAGACACCGGCUCAGAUGGGUUGGCCAAAAGGCUGGAGUAGGGUAGAACUCCUGUGGAAAACAGCUUGGCACUUCCUCAAAACACAGAGCUGCUCUGUUCACAAUCGCCGAAAGGUAGAAACCGCCCACACGUCCAUCAGUGGAUGAGUGGAUAAACCAAAUGUGGUCCGUCGUGCAGUGGGAUGUUAUUCGGCCACAGAAAGGAAUGAAGCUCGGACACCCGCUACAACGUGCAUGAACCUUGAAAACAUUAUGCUCCAAGAAGCCAGACCCACAAAACCCACAUAUGGUAUGUGAUUUUAUCUAUAUGAAAUGUCCAGAACAGGCAAAUCCAUAGAUUUAGGAGGGAGAUUAGUGGUUGCCAGGGGCUGGAGAGGUUAGGAGAAAUAGGGAGCGACGGCUCAUGGGCACAUGGUGUCCUUUUGGGGUGAUGGGAAUGUUCUGGAACUGGACAGAGCUGCUGGUUGCACAACAUGGGGAAUGUACUACCCGCCACUGAAUUGUUCCCUUUAAAGUGGUUAAUUUUAUGUUAUGUUUACAUGAAUUAGAAACCAAAAAGUUGGGGUGAUGCCCACGGAAGCCAGCAGGUGGGGGGGGGCGUCAUCCUUGCCAGCACAGGCAAGGCUGGGUGUUAGCAAUUCUAACAUUCAGUUCGGCUUGCAGUCAGCGGGCGGGUGCUUCUUCUUGGACAUGUACUGGCUGCCCGCAUCGCUGUCCUCUGAUUCCCUUACAUGGAAACUCUUCUCGGCUGAUGCUCCAGGAUGGGAGGAAUAUCCUUAUUUUACAAAUGAAGAAACUGAGGCACUAAGGGGUGAAGGGGAUUUUCCAAGGUCCCCCAUUGUGGCCCUUCUAGCACAUCACAGGGUUUAGGUAGAGGCUUGGGCCCUUCAUCUGUAGCAGGAGGAGCGAGCCGAUGGUAAACCUCAGCAACAGGGCCACAGUGACUCAGGAUGGUCAUCCCGUGCCGCUGACAUCUGUGAGUGGCGCAGUGUCCUGCCAUGGGUUCUCAGAGCCCCCUGGCAGGAGAUCCUACUACUUUCCCAUUUUACAAAUGAUGAGACGCAGGCUCAGAGAGGCGGGUCCCUCGCUGCAGGUCACAGUACGGCAAGGGCAUGUUAAGACAGAGUAUUCCAAACCUCAAGUUCCGCUUUGCUCUGAGCCGCCUCUGGGCAAAAAAGCAAGUCGACACGUGGAUGUUGAACUCUCGAAGCCGAAAGAAACCUCACGGCUCACGACCAGACUAAGAACUCCAGGAACUGGGGGUGGGGUGGGGUGGUGGCACUCCCCCAAGUCCAACCCGAGAAAUCUCUGGAGAAAACUGGAGCAAAGCAAAGCUCAGCUCGCGAGGGCCCCCUCCUGGGGUCUGAAGGAAGUGGCUGGGGCCAGCUGCAGAACGGAGCUGAGAUUCCUGGGAAGGUCCAAGUUCCCAGCGCCGUGAGCGUGGGCUUGGUGGGAAAUAGAAACGGCGUCUACGCAUGUGCCUGUGUGUACGUCUCUCCGCGUCUGCAUACGUGCACGUCCUUGAGCUCGCACAAGCACACGUGUGUCUCUGGGUAUGUGCAUGCAUGUGUGCCUACGUGGCUGUGCAUGUGUGCACACGUGUGUGUGUGUCUGUGGGGAGCUUCAAAGCCAGGUAAGACCAAGUGGAAAUCCUGGCGUUGAGUGUGGGUCUGGAGUCAGACUGUCCAGGGCCUCAGUUUCUCCAUUGAGAAAUGGACCAGCUUCUGCUGGUUGCGAGGAUUAGACUCCACGGGGACCAGCAACUCUCAGAUUUGUCACAGUAUACAGUCCGUGCUGUGGGCUCUGAAGUUGACGCCCGUGAUAUCCUUUGACUCUCAAAGCAAAUCCAAGGCUGAGUUUAUCGUCCAUAUUUUCAUAGACACUUAAUUUUCUGUCAUUCUAAAAUGAUACAAGCAAAGACACCAAACCACACAGAAAUGUAUGCAGUAAAUAGUGAAAAUUCCACCCACGACCCAGCCCGCUUCCCAGAGGAACAUCUGUUAAUAGGUGGGUGCGGAGUUUUCCAGAAUUUGUGACCACGCAUUUACAGAUUUGAGUUUGUAUUUCUAUUUCUAUAUAGUCCAAUAAAAUGGUGACGUAAACACUGUAGAAAAGUGGAUUUCCACUUUAUGGGGCACCCUUGACUCUAGCUCACGCCUCAUUCUCCAAUGUUACGGAUGCAGGAAAUGGAGUCCCUAGAGGGCAUGGAGCUUGCUCAAGGUCGCUUGUUGUUACACCGCCCCCCCCCCCAAGCUGAGACGGGACUAGAGUCUACCUGUCUGUCCCAAGGCGGGUCCCAACUAAGGAUGGGACUUCAGACGUUGUACACAGUUCACUUCUUCACUGUCCUUUCAUUGAACACUCCUUCGAUUCAGUACCCUGUGGAGGACGCCCCAGCCUAGGCGCGACAGAGCUGGGCGACCUUAGCUCAGGGGCUCAGGGACAGGCCUGCAGAAGCCAGAGGGGCAGCCAGGCCUCUGUCUGGAGAGAGCAGGGUGGCAAGUGGGCCUUGGAGGUUGAAUGGAGGUCCCACAGGCAUGGUGGGGACUGGGGGUAGGGUGAAGCGUCACCCCCAUUGUUGGCCAGCUGGGUGGCUUAUGAGCCUCCUCCGUACUUGACAUUCAUAAGUAGGAAAUGAUACCCAACUCUGGGGCUAAAUUGUUAAGUCUCAACCACUGGCUAGAAAGGUUGCUGC